RNAcentral lists this non-coding RNA (26 nucleotides) under Mus musculus (house mouse). Lineage: Eukaryota; Metazoa; Chordata; Mammalia; Rodentia; Muridae. The record is from RNAcentral.
UCACAGUGAGAGCAGGUGUCCCUGGA